AUGCUGUGGUCUCUUGCCUUCCUCCUAGCUUUCUUAGCUCCUGGAAGUCAGAAAGCUUCCAACAUGGAAAUGAAACAGAAGUUAAUCAUCAGGCCAACGAAGGCAUCUGUCAUAAUCUCCUGUGAUCUUCUUGGUCACAACAUCAACUACAUCCACUGGUACCGAUACCAAGAAGGACGAGCCCUGCAACGUCUCCUUUACUACAACUUCCCUGAUUCAAAGGUGGUGUUGGACUCAGGGUUCACUUUAGGGAAAUACAAUGCUUAUGAAGGUACAGGGAGGAGCUGUAAAUUUGUGUUCAACUAUCUGGAAAAAAGUGAUUCUGGUGUAUAUUACUGUGCCACCUGGGACUUAACACGGUGAUUCAGACUUCCCUUGUCCCACACUUAAAAUUUUUGUUUGUGGCUGCCAACAGUCUUGGUACAUAAGACAGACCAGCUCUUGUCUCUUCACUUCCUUCCCCUAACUUCACUGUAUUCUUAACUAUGAGAAACUCUGAGCUCAACAACUACCCCUCAGCCUUCCUUCUUCCAAGCAGCUAG
This is a non-coding RNA of Chrysochloris asiatica (Cape golden mole), 542 nucleotides long. The record is from the annotation of a RefSeq genome assembly. Lineage: Eukaryota; Metazoa; Chordata; Mammalia; Afrosoricida; Chrysochloridae.